GUCUAGGCGACGUCUGGGCUCGACCUGCCUGGAGCCGCCGCCGGUGCAAUCUUGGUGGUAUACAAAUACUCCAGCCAGGCCCUGGAGGACUGAUGUGKAGAAGGGUUUCGUGUGRRCARCCRUUGCACACGAGUCASUCSAKCCUAARCCCUAUGASAAAUCCRAURCURWCKKCGAUSGGAMAAAUUUUUYSRYGABKUAACGGCCCAUUGAUCGGGCGAAAGGGAAUCCGGUUCCUAUUCCGGAACCCGGCAGCGGAACCGUAGUUUGUCGGGCCUUCGGGUUCGUCAGGGUAACCUAAAAGGGCCCGGAGACGCCGUCGGGAGCCCCGGAAAGAGUUUUCUUUUCUGCAUGAGCGUUCGAGUUCCCUGGAAUCCUCUCGCAGGGAGAUAGGGUUUGGAACGCGAAGAGCACCGCAGUUGCGGCGGUGCCCGGGAAUUCCCGACGGACCUUGAAAAUCCGGGAGAGGGCCACGUGGAGGUGUCGCGCCGGCUCGUACCCAUAUCCGCAGCAGGUCUCCAAGGUGAAGAGCCUCUAGUCCAUAGAAUAAUGUAGGUAAAGGGAAGUCGGCAACAUCGAU
This 580-nucleotide ribosomal RNA is filed under the name Rhionaeschna bonariensis. RNAcentral describes it as "partial 28S ribosomal RNA". It matches the Rfam family "Eukaryotic large subunit ribosomal RNA", at positions 1400 to 1928 of the family's 3401-position model. The record is from RNAcentral. Lineage: Eukaryota; Metazoa; Arthropoda; Insecta; Odonata; Aeshnidae.